Molecule: ribosomal RNA, 497 nt
Filed under: uncultured bacterium
Lineage: Bacteria
Description: partial 16S ribosomal RNA
Rfam family: Bacterial small subunit ribosomal RNA
Source: RNAcentral
GAUGAACGCUGGCGGCGUGCCUAAUACAUGCAAGUCGAGCGAACGGACGAGAAGCUUGCUUCUCUGAUGUUAGCGGCGGACGGGUGAGUAACACGUGGAUAACCUACCUAUAAGACUGGGGUAACUUCGGGAAACCGGAGAUAAUAACGGAUAAUAUUUUGUACCGCAUGGUUCAAAAGUGAAAGACGGUCUUGCCGUCACUAAUAGAUGGAUCCGCGCUGCAUUAGCUAGUUGGUAAGGUAACGGCAUACCAAGGCAACGAUGCAUAGCCGACCUGAGAGGGUGAUCAGCCACACUGGAACUGAGACACGGUCCAGACUCCUACGGGAGGCAGCAGUAGGGAAUCUUGCGCAAUGGGCGAAAGCCUGACGGAGCAACGCCGCGUGGGUGAUGAAGGUCUUCGGAUCGUAAAACUCUGUUAUUAGGGAAGAAAAUAAGUGUAAGUAUAUGGUCACGUUUUGACGGUACCUAAGCAGAAAGCCACGGCUAACUACGUG